This 73-nucleotide transfer RNA is filed under the name Candidatus Komeilibacteria bacterium RIFCSPLOWO2_02_FULL_48_11. Its description in RNAcentral is "tRNA-Pro". It matches the Rfam family "tRNA". Rfam says of the family: Transfer RNA (tRNA) molecules are approximately 80 nucleotides in length. Their secondary structure includes four short double-helical elements and three loops (D, anti-codon, and T loops). Further hydrogen bonds mediate the characteristic L-shaped molecular structure. tRNAs have two regions of fundamental functional importance: the anti-codon, which is responsible for specific mRNA codon recognition, and the 3' end, to which the tRNAs corresponding amino acid is attached (by aminoacyl-tRNA synthetases). tRNAs cope with the degeneracy of the genetic code in two manners: having more than one tRNA (with a specific anti-codon) for a particular amino acid; and 'wobble' base-pairing, i.e. permitting non-standard base-pairing at the 3rd anti-codon position. The record is from RNAcentral. Lineage: Bacteria; Candidatus Komeiliibacteriota.
CGGGCUGUAGCGCAGUUGGUAGCGCGCAUCGUUCGGGACGAUGAGGUCGCGAGUUCGAGUCUCGCCAGCCCGA